This 72-nucleotide antisense RNA is filed under the name Saccharothrix saharensis. RNAcentral's name for it is "ASpks TB sRNA". It matches the Rfam family "ASpks TB sRNA". Lineage: Bacteria; Bacillati; Actinomycetota; Actinomycetes; Pseudonocardiales; Pseudonocardiaceae. The record is from RNAcentral.
CUUGAUCGAGCCCAGGCGCAGCGGUUCGCCCUCACGGUCACGGCCGUAGGUGGCGAUCAGCGCCUGCGCCUC